Non-coding RNA from Xyrichtys novacula (pearly razorfish), 11175 nucleotides. NCBI's taxonomy places the organism in Eukaryota, Metazoa, Chordata, Actinopteri, Labriformes, Labridae. The record is from the annotation of a GenBank genome assembly.
UUAGCAUUGCUGGCGCAAGGAUGCCACGCAUAUUCGUGAAGUGUUACCAAUUUUUCAGCCCCAUAUAACAUUUCUAAACUUCCACGAUAAAAAAGGAAAAGGCAGCAGCCCUAAGGCGAGAGCAGAGUACCGCGCGAGCAACAGGUCACUCAGUGCCGUCUGAUACUUAACAAGGAUGACAUGAAUCGUUACAAACCGAGAGCGGAGUACCACGCGAGCAGCAGGUCACUCAGUGCCGUCUGACACUUAACAAGGAUGACAUGAAUCGUUACAAACAUGAGUUUUAUUUUUGAAAACAGUCCCCCUGAUCUCAAUUUUUAAGCUGCACUUCCCAAGAUCCAGAGCUCAGUCGUGUGUUUUCCCUAUGUCACCUAAAGAAUUUUCAUUGUUUCGACUGCCUGUAAGACGUGGGAAACCUGCAACAUGACUGCAGGGGGUCAUCGUAUCGAGUCGUUCAUAUCAAUGCAAACCGUCCCUGUCGGACUGGUUAGUUCGCUAACACAUAUACUAAAAUUGAAUAUUAUACAGAGAAGAUUAGCAUGUCCCCCGGCGCAAGGAUGACACGCAAAUUUGUGAAGCGUUACCAAUUUUUCAGCCCCAUAUAACAUUUCUAAACUUCCACGAUAAAGAAGGAAAAGGCAGCAGCCCUAAGGCGAGAGCAGACUACCACGCGAGCAGAGGUCACUCAGUGCCGUCUGACACUUAACAAGGAUGACAUGAAUUGUUACAAACCGAGAGUGGAGUACCACGCGAGCAGCAGGUCACUCAGUGCCGUCUGACACUUAACAAGGAUGACAUGAAUCGUUACAAACCCCUACGGCGAGAGCAGAGUACCACGCGAGCAGCAGGUCACUCAGUGCCGUCUGACAUUUAACAAGGAUGACAUGAAUCGUUACAAACCGAGAGCGGAGUACCACGCGAGCAGCAGGUCACUCAGUGCCGUCUGACACUUAACAAGGAUGACAUGAAUCGUUACAAACAUUUUAUUUUUGAAAACAGUCCCCCUGAUCUCAAUUUUUAAGCUGCACUUCCCAAGAUCCAGACCUCAGUCUUGUGUUUCCCGAAGUCACCUGAAGCAUUUUCAUUGUUUCGACUGCCUGUAAGACGUGGGAAACCUGCACCAUGACUGCAGGGGGUCAUCGUAUCGAGUCGUUCAUUUCAAUGCUAACCGUCCUGUAGGGAUUGUGUUAGUUCGCUAACACAUAUACUAAAAUCAGAUACGAUACAGAGAAGAUUAGCAUGGCCCCUGGCGCAAGGAUAACACGCAAAUUCGUGAAGCGUUAUCAGUUUUUCAGCCCCAUAUAACAUUUCUAAACUUCCACGAUAAAAAAGGAAAAGGCAGCAGCCCUAAGGCGAGAGCAGAGUACCACGCGAGCAGCAGGUCACUCAGUGCCGUCUGACACUUAACAAGGAUGACAUGAAUCGUUACAAACCCCUACGGCGAGAGCAGAGUACCACGCUAGCAGCAGGUCACUCAGUGCCGUCUGACACUUAACAAGGAUGACAUGAAUCGUUACAAUCCGAGAGCGGAGUACCACGCGAGCAGCAGGUCACUCAGUGCCGUCUGACACUUAACAAGGAUGACAUGAAUCGUUACAAACAUGAGUUUUAUUUUUGAAAACAGUCCCCCUGAUCUCAAUUUUUAAGCUGCACUUCCCAAGAUCCAGACCUCAGUCUUGUGUUUUCCCUAAGUCACCUAAAGAAUUUUCAUUAUUUCGACUGCCUGUAAGAUGUGGGAAACCUGCACCAUGACUGCAGGGGGUCAUCGUAUCGAGUCGAUCAUAUCAAUGCUAACCGUCCUGGUAGAUAGUGUUAGUUCGCUAACACAUAUACUAAAAUUGGAUACGAUACAUAGAAGAUUAGCACGGCCCCUGGCGCAAGGAUGACAUGCAAAUUCGUGAAGCGUUACCAAUUUUUCAGCCCCAUAUAACAUUUCUAAACUUCCACGAUAAAAAAGGAAAAGGCAGCAGCCUCUAAGGCGAGAGCAGUGUACCACGCGAGCAGCAGGUCACUCAGUGCCGUCUGAUACUUAACAAGGAUGACAUGAAUCGUUACAAACCGACAGCAGAGUACCACGCGAGCAGCAGGUCACUCAGUGCUGUCUGACACUUAACAAGGAUGACAUGAAUCAUUACAAACAUGAGUUUUAUUUUUGAAAACAGUCCCCCUGAUCUCAAUUUUUAAGCUGCACUUCCCAAGAUCCAGACCUCAGUCUUGUGUUUCCCUAAGUCACCAGAAGCAUUUUCAUUGUUUCGACUGCCUGUAAGACGUGGGAAACCUGCACCAUGACUGCAGGGGGUCAUCGUAUCGAGUCGUUCAUUUCAAUGCAAACCGUCCUGUAGGGAUUGUGUUAGUUCGCUAACACAUAUACUAAAAUUGGAUACGAUACAGAGAAGAUUAGCAUGGCCCCUGGCGCAAGCAUGACACGCAAAUUCGUGAAGCGUUAUCAUUUUUUCAGCCCCAUAUAACAUUUCUAAACUUACACGAUAAAAAAGGAAAAGGCAGCAGCCCUAAGGCAAGAGCAGAGUACAACGCGAGCAGCAGGUCACUCAGUGCCGUCUGACACUUAACAAGGAUGACAUGAAUCGUUACAAACCGAGAGCGGAGUACCACGCGAGCAGCAGGUCACUCAGUGCUGUCUGACACUUAACAAGCAUGACAUGAAUCGUUACAAACCGAGAGCGGAGUACCACGCAAGCAGCAGGUCACUCAGUGCCGUCUGACACUUAACAAGGAUGACAUGAAUCGUUACAAACAUGAGUUUUAUUUUUGAAAACAGUCCCCCUGAUCUCAAUUUUAUAAGCUGCACUUCCCAAGAUGCAGACCUCAGUCUUGUGUUUUCCCUAAGUCACCUAAAGCAUUUUCAUUGUUUCGACUGACUGUAAGACAUGGGAAACCUGCACCAUGACUGCAGGGGGUCAUCGUAUCGAGUCGAUCAUAUCAAUGCUAACCGUCCUUGUAGGACUGGUUAGUUCGCUAACACAUAUACUAAAAUUGGAUAUAAUACAGAGAAGAUUAGCAUGGCCCCUGGCGCAAAGAUGACACGCAAAUUUGUAAAGCGUUACCAAUUUUUCAGCCCCAUAUAACAUUUCUAAACUUCCACGAUAAGGAAGGAAAAGGCAGCAGCCCUAAGGCGAGAGCAGAGUACCACGCAAGCAGCAGGUCACUCAGUGCUGUCUGACACUUAACAAGGAUGACAUGAAUCGUUACAAACCGAGAGCGGAGUACCACGCGAUCAGCAGGUCACUCAGUGCUGUCUGACACUUAACAAGGAUGACAUGAAUCGUUACAAACAUGAGUUUUAUUUUUGAAAACAGUCACCCUGAUCUCAAUUUUUAAGCUGCACUUCCCAGGAUCCAGACCUCAGUCGUGUGUUUUCCCUAUGUCACCUAAAGAAUUUUCAUUGUUUCGACUGCCUGUAAGACGUGGGAAACCUGCAACAUGACUGCAGGGGGUCAUCGUAUCGAGUCGUUCAUAUCAAUGCAAACCAUCCUUGUUGGACUGGUUAGUUCGCUAAGACAUAUACUAAAAUUGGAUAUUAUACAGAGAAGAUUAGCAUGGCCCCUGGCGCAAGGAUGACACGCAAAUUCGUAAAGCGUUACCAAUUUUUCAGCCCCAUAUAACAUUUCUAAACUUCCACGAUAAGGAAGGAAAAGGCAGCAGCCCUAAGGCGAGAGCAGAGUACCACGCAAGCAGCAGGUCACUCAGUGCCGUCUGACACUUAACAAGGAUGACAUGAAUCGUUACAAACCGAGAGCGGAGUACCACGCGAGCAGCAGGUCACUCAGUGCCGUCUGACACUUAACAAGGAUGACAUGAAUCGUUACAAACAUGAGUUUUAUUUUUGAAAACAGUCCCCUGAUCUAAAUAUUAUAAGCUGCACUUCCCAAGAUGCAGACCUCAGUCUUGUGUUUUCCCUAAGUCACCUAAAGCAUUUUCAUUGUUUCGACUGACUGUAAGACAUGGGAAACCUGCACCAUGACUGCAGGGUGUCAUCGUAUCGAGUUGUUCAUUUCAAUGCUAACCGUGCUGGUAGGAUAGUGUUACUUUGCUAACACAUAUACCAAAAUUGAAUACGAUACAGAGAAGAUUAGCAUGGCCCCUGGCGCAAGCAUGACACACAAAUUCGUGAAGCGUUAUCAGUUUUUUUAGCCCCAUAUAACAUUUCUAAACUUCCACGAUAAAAAAGGAAAAGGCAGCAGCCCUAAGGCGAGAGCAGAGUACCACGCAAGCAGCAGGUCACUCAGUGCUGUCUGACACUUAACAAGGAUGACAUGAAUCGUUACAAACCGAGAGCGGAGUACCACGCGAUCAGCAGGUCACUCAGUGCUGUCUGACACUUAACAAGGAUGACAUGAAUCGUUACAAACAUGAGUUUUAUUUUUGAAAACAGUCACCCUGAUCUCAAUUUUUAAGCUGCACUUCCCAGGAUCCAGACCUCAGUCGUGUGUUUUCCCUAUGUCACCUAAAGAAUUUUCAUUGUUUCGACUGCCUGUAAGACGUGGGAAACCUGCAACAUGACUGCAGGGGGUCAUCGUAUCGAGUCGUUCAUAUCAAUGCAAACCAUCCUUGUUGGACUGGUUAGUUCGCUAAGACAUAUACUAAAAUUGGAUAUUAUACAGAGAAGAUUAGCAUGGCCCCUGGCGCAAGGAUGACACGCAAAUUCGUAAAGCGUUACCAAUUUUUCAGCCCCAUAUAACAUUUCUAAACUUCCACGAUAAGGAAGGAAAAGGCAGCAGCCCUAAGGCGAGAGCAGAGUACCACGCGAGCAGCAGGUCACUCAGUGCCGUCUGACACUUAACAAGGAUGACAUGAAUCGUUACAAACCGAGAGCGGAGUACCACGCGAGCAGCAGGUCACUCAGUGCCGUCUGACACUUAACAAGGAUGACAUGAAUCGUUACAAACAUGAGUUUUAUUUUUGAAAACAGUCCCCUGAUCUAAAUAUUAUAAGCUGCACUUCCCAAGAUGCAGACCUCAGUCUUGUGUUUUCCCUAAGUCACCUAAAGCAUUUUCAUUGUUUCGACUGACUGUAAGACAUGGGAAACCUGCACCAUGACUGCAGGGUGUCAUCGUAUCGAGUUGUUCAUUUCAAUGCUAACCGUGCUGGUAGGAUAGUGUUACUUUGCUAACACAUAUACCAAAAUUGAAUACGAUACAGAGAAGAUUAGCAUGGCCCCUGGCGCAAGCAUGACACACAAAUUCGUGAAGCGUUAUCAGUUUUUUUAGCCCCAUAUAACAUUUCUAAACUUCCACGAUAAAAAAGGAAAAGGCAGCAGCCCUAAGGCGAGAGCAGAGUACCACGCGAGCAGCAGGUCACUCAGUGCCGUCUGACACUUAACAAGGAUGACAUGAAUCGUUACAAACAUGAGUUUUAUUUUUGAAAACAGUCACCCUGAUCUCAAUUUUUAAGCUGCACUUCCCAGGAUCGAGACCUCAGUCGUGUGUUUUCCCUAUGUCACCUAAAGAAUUUUCAUUGUUUCGACUGCCUGUAAGACGUGGGAAACCUGCAACAUGACUGCAGGGGGUCAUCGUAUCGAGUCGUUCAUAUCAAUGCAAACCAUCCUUGUUGGACUGGUUAGUUCGCUAAGACAUAUACUAAAAUUGGAUACGAUACAGAGAAGAUUAGCAUGGCCCCUGGCGCAAGGAUGACACGCAAAUUCGUGAAGCCUUACCAAUUUUUCAGCCCCAUAUAACAUUUCUAAACUUCCACGAUAAAAAAGGAAAAGGCAGCACCCCUAAGGCGAGAGCAGAGUACCACGCGAGCAGCAGGUCACUCAGUGCCGUCUGACACUUAACAAGGAUGACAUGAAUCGUUACAAACCGAGAGCGGAGUACCACGCGAGCAGCAGGUCACUCAGUGCCGUCUGACACUUAACAAGGAUGACAUGAAUCGUUACAAACAUGAGUUUUAUUUUUGAAAACAGUCCCCCUGAUCUCAAUUUUAUAAGCUGCACUUCCCAAGAUGCAGACCUCAGUCUUGUGUUUUCCCUAAGUCACCUAAAGCAUUUUCAUUGUUUCGACUGACUGUAAGACAUGGGAAACCUGCACCAUGACUGCAGGGUGUCAUCGUAUCGAGUUGUUCAUUUCAAUGCUAACCGUGCUGGUAGGAUAGUGUUACUUUGCUAACACAUAUACCAAAAUUGAAUACGAUACAGAGAAGAUUAGCAUGGCCCCUGGCGCAAGCAUGACACACAAAUUCGUGAAGCGUUAUCAGUUUUUUUAGCCCCAUAUAACAUUUCUAAACUUCCACGAUAAAAAAGGAAAAGGCAGCAGCCCUAAGGCGAGAGCAGAGUACCACGCGAGCAGCAGGUCACUCAGUGCCGUCUGACACUUAACAAGGAUGACAUGAAUCGUUACAAACAUGAGUUUUAUUUUUGAAAACAGUCACCCUGAUCUCAAUUUUUAAGCUGCACUUCCCAGGAUCGAGACCUCAGUCGUGUGUUUUCCCUAUGUCACCUAAAGAAUUUUCAUUGUUUCGACUGCCUGUAAGACGUGGGAAACCUGCAACAUGACUGCAGGGGGUCAUCGUAUCGAGUCGUUCAUAUCAAUGCAAACCAUCCUUGUUGGACUGGUUAGUUCGCUAAGACAUAUACUAAAAUUGGAUAUUAUACAGAGAAGAUUAGCAUGGCCCCUGGCGCAAGGAUGACACGCAAAUUCGUAAAGCGUUACCAAUUUUUCAGCCCCAUAUAACAUUUCUAAACUUCCACGAUAAGGAAGGAAAAGGCAGCAGCCCUAAGGCGAGAGCAGAGUACCACGCGAGCAGCAGGUCACUCAGUGCCGUCUGACACUUAACAAGGAUGACAUGAAUCGUUACAAACCGAGAGCGGAGUACCACGCGAGCAGCAGGUCACUCAGUGCCGUCUGACACUUAACAAGGAUGACAUGAAUCGUUACAAACAUGAGUUUUAUUUUUGAAAACAGUCCCCUGAUCUAAAUAUUAUAAGCUGCACUUCCCAAGAUGCAGACCUCAGUCUUGUGUUUUCCCUAAGUCACCUAAAGCAUUUUCAUUGUUUCGACUGACUGUAAGACAUGGGAAACCUGCACCAUGACUGCAGGGUGUCAUCGUAUCGAGUUGUUCAUUUCAAUGCUAACCGUGCUGGUAGGAUAGUGUUACUUUGCUAACACAUAUACCAAAAUUGAAUACGAUACAGAGAAGAUUAGCAUGGCCCCUGGCGCAAGCAUGACACACAAAUUCGUGAAGCGUUAUCAGUUUUUUUAGCCCCAUAUAACAUUUCUAAACUUCCACGAUAAAAAAGGAAAAGGCAGCAGCCCUAAGGCGAGAGCAGAGUACCACGCGAGCAGCAGGUCACUCAGUGCCGUCUGACACUUAACAAGGAUGACAUGAAUCGUUACAAACCCCUACGGCGAGAGCAGAGUACCACGCGAGCAGCAGGUCACUCAGUGCUGUCUGACACUUAACAAGGAUGACAUGAAUCGUUACAAACCGAGAGCGGAGUACCACGCGAGCAGCAGGUCACUCAGUGCCGUCUGACACUUAACAAGGAUGACAUGAAUCGUUACAAACAUGAGUUUUAUUUUUGAAAACAGUCCCCCUGAUCUCAAUUUUUAAGCUGCACUUCCCAAGAUCCAGACCUCAGUCUUGUGUUUUCCCUAAGUCACCUAAAGAAUUUUCAUUGUUUCGACUGCCUGUAAGACGUGGGAAACCUGCACCAUGACUGCAGGGGGUCAUCUUAUCGAGUCGAUCAAAUCAAUGCUAACCGUCUUUGUAGGACUGGUUAGUUCGCUAACACAUAUACUAAAAUUGGAUAUUAAACAGAGAAGAUUAGCAUGGCCCCUGGCGCAAGGAUGACACGCAAAUUCGUAAAGCGUUACCAAUUUUUCAGCCCCAUAUAACAUUUCUAAACUUCCACGAUAAAAAAGGAAAAGGCAGCACCCCUGAGGGGAGAGCAGAGUACCACGCGAGCAGCAGGUCACUCAGUGCCGUCUGACACUUAACAAGGAUGACAUGAAUCGUUACAAACCCCUACAGCGAGAGCGGAGUACCAUGCAAGCAGCAGGUCACUCAGUGCCGUCUGACACUUAACAAGGAUGACAUGAAUCAUUACAAACAUGAGUUUAAUUUUUGAAAACAGUCCCCCUGAUCUCAAUUUUUAAGCUGCACUUCCCAAGAUCCAGACCUCAGUCUCGUGUUUUCCCUAAGUCACCUAAAGCAUUUUCAUUGUUUCGACUGCCUGUAAGACGUGGGAAACCUGAACCAUGACUGGAGGGGGUCAUUGUAGCGAGUCGUUCAUAUGAAUGCUAACCGUGCUGGUAAAUUGUGUUAGUUCGCUAACACAUAUACUAAAAUUGGAUACGAUACAUAGAAGAUUAGCAUGGCCCCUGCGCAAGGAUGACAGGCAAAUUCGUGAAGCGUUACCAAUUUUUCAGCCCCAUAUAACAUCUCUAAACUUCCACGAUAAAAAAGGAAAAGGCAGCACCCCUAAGGCGAGAGCAGAGUACCACGCGAGCAGCAGGUCACUCAGUGCCGUCUGACACUUAACAAGGAUGACGUGAAUCGUUACAAACAUGAGUUUUAUUUUUGAAAACAGUCCCCUGAUCUAAAUAUUAUAAGCUGCACUUCCCAAGAUGCAGACCUCAGUCUUGUGUUUUCCCUAAGUCACCUAAAGCAUUUUCAUUGUUUCGACUGACUGUAAGACAUGGGAAACCUGCACCAUGACUGCAGGGUGUCAUCGUAUCGAGUUGUUCAUUUCAAUGCUAACCGUGCUGGUAGGAUAGUGUUACUUUGCUAACACAUAUACCAAAAUUGAAUACGAUACAGAGAAGAUUAGCAUGGCCCCUGGCGCAAGCAUGACACACAAAUUCGUGAAGCGUUAUCAGUUUUUUAGCCCCAUAUAACAUUUCUAAACUUCCACGAUAAAAAAGGAAAAGGCAGCAGCCCUAAGGCGAGAGCAGAGUACCACGCGAGCAGCAGGUCACUCAGUGCCGUCUGACACUUAACAAGGAUGACAUGAAUCGUUACAAACAUGAGUUUUAUUUUUGAAAACAGUCACCCUGAUCUCAAUUUUUAAGCUGCACUUCCCAAGAUCCAGACCUCAGUCUUGUGUUUUCCCUAAGUCCCCUAAAGCAUUUUCAUUGUUUCGACUGCCUGUAAGACGUGGGAAACCUGCAACAUGACUGCAGGGGGUCAUCGUAUCGAGUCGUUCAUAUCAAUGCAAACCAUCCUUGUUGGACUGGUUAGUUCGCUAAGACAUAUACUAAAAUUGGAUAUUAUACAGAGAAGAUUAGCAUGGCCCCUGGCGCAAGGAUGACACGCAAAUUUGUGAAGCGUUACCAAUUUUUCAGCCCCAUAUAACAUUUCUAAACUUCCACGAUAAAAAAGGAAAAGGCAGCAGCCCUAAGGCGAGAGCAGAGUACCACGCGAGCAGCAGGUCACUCAGUGCCGUCUGACACUUAACAAGGAUGACAUGAAUCGUUACAAACCCCUACUGCGAGAGCGGAGUACCACGCGAGCAGCAGGUCACUCAGUGCCGUCUGACACUUAACAAGGAUGACAUGAAUCGUUACAAACAUGAGUUUUAUUUUUGAAAACAGUCCCCCUGAUCUCAAUUUUUAAGCUGCACUUCCCAAGAUCCAGACCUCAGUCUUGUGUUUUCCCUAAGUCACCUAAAGCAUUUUCAUUGUUUCGACUGCCUGUAAGACGUGGGAAACCUGCACCAUGACUGCAGGGGGUCAUCGUAUCGAGUUGUUCAUUUCAAUGCUAACCGUGCUGGUAGGAUAGUGUUACUUUGCUAACACAUAUACCAAAAUUGAAUACGAUACAGAGAAGAUUAGCAUGGCCCCUGGCGCAAGCAUGACACACAAAUUCGUGAAGCGUUAUCAGUUUUUUAGCCCCAUAUAACAUUUCUAAACUUCCACGAUAAAAAAGGAAAAGGCAGCACCCCUAAGGCGAGAGCAGAGUACCACGCGAGCAGCAGGUCACUCAGUGCCGUCUGACACUUAACAAGGAUGACAUGAAUCGUUACAAACCCCUACGGCGAGAGCAGAGUACCACGCGAGCAGCAGGUCACUCAGUGCUGUCUGACACUUAACAAGGAUGACAUGAAUCGUUACAAACCGAGAGCGGAGUACCACGCGAGCAGCAGGUCACUCAGUGCCGUCUGACACUUAACAAGGAUGACAUGAAUCGUUACAAACAUGAGUUUUAUUUUUGAAAACAGUCCCCCUGAUCUCAAUUUUUAAGCUGCACUUCCCAAGAUCCAGACCUCAGUCUUGUGUUUUCCCUAAGUCACCUAAAGAAUUUUCAUUGUUUCGACUGCCUGUAAGACGUGGGAAACCUGCACCAUGACUGCAGGGGGUCAUCUUAUCGAGUCGAUCAAAUCAAUGCUAACCGUCUUUGUAGGACUGGUUAGUUCGCUAACACAUAUACUAAAAUUGGAUAUUAAACAGAGAAGAUUAGCAUGGCCCCUGGCGCAAGGAUGACACGCAAAUUCGUAAAGCGUUACCAAUUUUUCAGCCCCAUAUAACAUUUCUAAACUUCCACGAUAAAAAAGGAAAAGGCAGCACCCCUGAGGGGAGAGCAGAGUACCACGCGAGCAGCAGGUCACUCAGUGCCGUCUGACACUUAACAAGGAUGACAUGAAUCGUUACAAACCCCUACAGCGAGAGCGGAGUACCAUGCAAGCAGCAGGUCACUCAGUGCCGUCUGACACUUAACAAGGAUGACAUGAAUCAUUACAAACAUGAGUUUUAUUUUUGAAAACAGUCCCCCUGAUCUCAAUUUUUAAGCUGCACUUCCCAAGAUCCAGACCUCAGUCUCGUGUUUUCCCUAAGUCACCUAAAGCAUUUUCAUUGUUUCGACUGCCUGUAAGACGUGGGAAACCUGAACCAUGACUGGAGGGGGUCAUUGUAGCGAGUCGUUCAUAUGAAUGCUAACCGUGCUGGUAAAUUGUGUUAGUUCGCUAACACAUAUACUAAAAUUGGAUACGAUACAUGGAAGAUUAGCAUGGCCCCUGCGCAAGGAUGACACGCAAAUUCGUGAAGCGUUACCAAUUUUUCAGCCCCAUAUAACAUUUCUAAACUUCCACGAUAAAAAAGGAAAAGGCAGCACCCCUAAGGCGAGAGCAGAGUACCACGCGAGCAGCAGGUCACUCAGUGCCGUCUGACACUUAACAAGGAUGACGUGAAUCGUUACAAACAUGAGUUUUAUUUUUGA